GAUGAACGCUGGCGGCGUGCCUAACACAUGCAAGUCGAACGGAAAGACGCUGCGUUUGUGGGGUGCUCGAGUGGCGAGCGGGUGUGUAACACGUGAGUAACCUCCCCUUGACUUUGGGGUAACAUCAGGAAACUGGGGCUAAUACCGCAUAGGAGCUCCUGCUGCAUGGUGUGGGUUGGAAAGUUUCGGCGGUUGGGGAUGGACUCGCGGCUUAUCAGCUUGUUGGUGGGGUAGUGGCUUACCAAGGGUUUGACGGGUAGCCGGCCUUAGAGGUUGAACGGGCACAAGGCGACUGCGAUAGGCAGCAGUCGCGAACGUGAGGCAGUGGGCGGAAGCAUGACGCAGUGGGGCGGCGUGUGAGACGAAGGCGUUCGGUGCGUAAUGCCCUCUUUUGGGGUAAGAACCGCUUUCGCCUGAGACGAGGCGUGAGUGACGGUACCGGAUAAAGAAGCACCGGCUAACUACGUG
Molecule: ribosomal RNA, 468 nt
Filed under: uncultured bacterium
Lineage: Bacteria
Description: partial 16S ribosomal RNA
Rfam family: Bacterial small subunit ribosomal RNA
Source: RNAcentral